CUUCCUGGCUCCGGACCUCAGCUCUUCAGCUGUAAAACAAAGAAGUAGGAUUUGAUGGCCUCUUAGGCACCUUCCAGAGCAAAACUAAUGAUCUUCUGUUCCUAGAUUGGUGCAGCCAGUGACUUUUAUGCCCUCAGAGAAACAAACUCCCUCGUCAUUGGAUAUAAUGGGUUGAAACCUUCCUUUUCAGUUAACUUAAGGGGCCUCCUUUUCUGCUCCACAUUGAGACCUGGGUUCUGUGUAAAUUGUUCAGACACCUGAAUUGUUCCCUGGGGAGACCAUGGAGGAGGACCACGGCCACCAAGGGUCAGCAUGAGGCUAUGCAAACAGCAGGUGCUCAGAAACAUUUGGCAGUGGCAUGGAUGAUGGAGUAAAUAUCUCCUGGUGGAAAAAGAUCAAAUGAGAUGUGAUGCUUUAGGAACAGAAGAUUACAACCCAUCUCUGUGGGUGAAAACUUGAGGCCACUAGAAUGCCUGCAGCUAAUUAAUGCCUCUAAGGUGCUUUUAAAUCCUGGGAUGAAAGGGAAGUCAUCCAGCAGCAAAUGCCAAAGGUUAGUGAUUUAAAGUCUUUCUAAACCUUUCAGACAGUGCUGGAAUGAGGACAGCACCAGCUCUUGCUUUU
RNAcentral lists this long non-coding RNA (621 nucleotides) under Vombatus ursinus (common wombat). RNAcentral's name for it is "lncRNA (ENSVURG00010013685.1)". The record is from RNAcentral. Lineage: Eukaryota; Metazoa; Chordata; Mammalia; Diprotodontia; Vombatidae.